Long non-coding RNA from Vespa crabro (European hornet), 761 nucleotides. RefSeq lists it as uncharacterized. The record is from RefSeq and is a predicted model, not a curated record. Lineage: Eukaryota; Metazoa; Arthropoda; Insecta; Hymenoptera; Vespidae. The transcript has 6 exons.
GACAAAGCCAGCAAACAUGCUGGUCGAUGAAUUUACCGAGCAAACGAUCAGGGCAUCCUUGUAUACGUUGUUGGUAAAUUUGUUGUAGCUACCAAGAGCAACCAAUGUUCCAAGACCGAGUCCAUAGGAAAAGAAAAUCUGUAUUUGGACUGAUGUAAAAUCUUAUACCCUCCAUUGCACCAGGCAAAGUAAUCCCACGAAUUAAUAAAAUCGAUCUGUGAGUUCAUUGACGGUGACAUUCAUUUGAUUAACAGAACACAUCUUAAUUACAUUGUGAUUCCUUGUCAUUUGAUCCCAACAAAGUAACGAACUUCUAUCGUAAGGAUUUACGCAAUAUUUUGUAUUCCAGUAAUUAUUACAGCUACCCCAAGGACAUCACAGCAGCGGCAUAACCGAUGCCUUUAAAAAGAGGAGCAAUUUUAAAAACACCUAAACCGCCGACUGUUAACAUUUGACCGAGAGCUAAUUCCAUAAAGAACAUUGGUAUACCAGCUAGUACCAAUGUUAAGAAAUAUGGGAUCAAGAAAGCACCACCUCCAUUUUUAUAACAGAGAAAAAAAUCGAGAAAGAAGAAUGGAGACAGAAGAGAGGAAGAGAAGGAAAAGGCAAAAAAGAGAGGGAGUCAAUGAACUAUUAAAAAUAAAGGUAGCGGAGAAAAGUAUACGGAUGUCCUUACCAGUAUCGGAACAUUUCCGAUGAAACGAAAUAAUGAUAAAGUAGGCGAGCAAGACUAGGAAGCUGGUAUAUCCGGAGGGUCCACG